UCCUACGGGAGGCAGCAGUGAGGAAUAUUGGUCAAUGGGCGAGAGCCUGAACCAGCCAAGUCGCGUGAGGGAGUACUGCCCUAUGGGUUGUAAACCUCUUUUGUCGGGGAGCAAAAGCCGGACGUGUCCGGCUGUGAGAGUACCUGAAGAAAAAGCAUCGGCUAACUCCGUGCCAGCAGCCGCGGUAAUACGGAGGAUGCGAGCGUUAUCCGGAUUUAUUGGGUUUAAAGGGUGCGUAGGCGGAAUGCCAAGUCAGCGGUAAAAUCGCGGGGCUCAACCUCGCUCCGCCGUUGAAACUGGCGUUC
RNAcentral lists this ribosomal RNA (305 nucleotides) under uncultured bacterium. Its description in RNAcentral is "bacterial SSU rRNA". It matches the Rfam family "Bacterial small subunit ribosomal RNA", at positions 337 to 641 of the family's 1533-position model. The record is from RNAcentral.